RNAcentral lists this long non-coding RNA (1228 nucleotides) under Equus caballus (horse). RNAcentral's name for it is "lncRNA (ENSECAG00000058686.1)". Lineage: Eukaryota; Metazoa; Chordata; Mammalia; Perissodactyla; Equidae. The record is from RNAcentral.
GAGUCAAAGAAGGAUGUGAGCACUGAAGAAAGGCACAGAGAGAUGCAACACUGCUGUUAUUGAAAAUGGAGGAAGGGAGCUGUGAGUCAAGGGCACCUUCUUCGGAAAAAUUAAGAACCAACUGACAUCCAUCACCAGAGGGAACUAAGACUUUGAGACCACCUGCUACUAACUUUGACACAUCAAUGCCAACCUUUUGGAAAGUGUGUAAGCCACAGGGGGUAGUGACCAGGUCCCCCCCAGUACAUAGUUGUAUAUUCUAGUUGUGAGUGCUUCCGGUUGUGCUAUGUGGGACACCACCUCAGCGUGGCCUGAUGAGCGGUGCCAUGUCCGUGCCCAGGAUCCAAACCAGCAAAACCGUGGGCCCCGAAGCAGAGCGAACGAGCUUAACUACCCGGCCACAGGGCUAGCCCCUAUUAAAACUUUUUAAGUUAAAAACUGGGAUGUCAGUUGCUACCCACACUGAAUAUAAAUUUAGAAAUUCUUUCUACACUGCAUAAUCUUGCUUAUAAUCAGGUCUAUUUUAUUCCUUACUUUCUUGGUAUUUGCUCGAGUAUUUAUCAAAAGAUAAUUUGCCCAUCACUAAGAAAAGGUAAAUAUUUAAGUAAGGGAUUUUAUCACAAUCAGGGCUUUCUCACAGAAAUGGUGUAAAUUAAUGUGUCCAAAUGUCAUUUGGUAAAAAUAUGCUUCCAAAUUAGUUUUUAACAAAGUAUUCUGAUAAAAAUAAUUGAUGGAAAAAAUAACCUGACUCAAAUAUAUAAAAAAAUUAUUGAUUUUUCAUGCAUGUUUUAACAUGGAUUAAGAUAAAAUGUAUGCUCAAAUAUUUAAAAUAUACUUAUUUACAAUGUUCUGCAUUAUAUUUUCUACUUCUUCCCUGAAAGUAAUAUAAAACCUUAAAGCCUAGAUGAAAGCUAAAAUCUCAAAAAAUUGAUAGGAUUUUUUAAGUGAAUCCAAAAUAAGAAAUAUUUCUUAUGUUAUAAAACAACCACAGGGAUUUCAGUUUUUAAAUAAAUAAAAUGAUUUUGCCUUCAGGAGAUGAGUGUGGACAUUAGAGGAUUAGAAAGAAAGUAUCCAACUUGCAAACUGUUCUACUCUUAGUGAGUUUCUUUUUUAUAUUUGCUUUUAUUAUACACCAUGCUAUUGUCCUCAAAAUUGUAGCCUCAAGCUUAACACUUAAUAAACAUUUACAUGAAUAAUGGCACUAGAUGAAGAGGAUAUAUGUUAUUUA